This 995-nucleotide ribosomal RNA is filed under the name Mammaliicoccus sciuri. RNAcentral's name for it is "bacterial SSU rRNA". It matches the Rfam family "Bacterial small subunit ribosomal RNA", at positions 38 to 1025 of the family's 1533-position model. Lineage: Bacteria; Bacillati; Bacillota; Bacilli; Caryophanales; Staphylococcaceae. The record is from RNAcentral.
GGCGGGCGGGUGCUAUACAUGCAAGUCGAGCGAACAGACGAGAAGCUUGCUUCUCUGAUGUUAGCGGCGGACGGGUGAGUAACACGUGGGUAACCUACCUAUAAGACUGGGAUAACUCCGGGAAACCGGGGCUAAUACCGGAUAAUAUUUUGAACCGCAUGGUUCGAUAGUGAAAGACGGUUUCGGCUGUCACUUAUAGAUGGACCCGCGCCGUAUUAGCUAGUUGGUAAGGUAACGGCUUACCAAGGCGACGAUACGUAGCCGACCUGAGAGGGUGAUCGGCCACACUGGAACUGAGACACGGUCCAGACUCCUACGGGAGGCAGCAGUAGGGAAUCUUCCGCAAUGGGCGAAAGCCUGACGGAGCAACGCCGCGUGAGUGAUGAAGGUCUUCGGAUCGUAAAACUCUGUUGUUAGGGAAGAACAAAUUUGUUAGUAACUGAACAAGUCUUGACGGUACCUAACCAGAAAGCCACGGCUAACUACGUGCCAGCAGCCGCGGUAAUACGUAGGUGGCAAGCGUUAUCCGGAAUUAUUGGGCGUAAAGCGCGCGUAGGCGGUUUCUUAAGUCUGAUGUGAAAGCCCACGGCUCAACCGUGGAGGGUCAUUGGAAACUGGGAAACUUGAGUGCAGAAGAGGAGAGUGGAAUUCCAUGUGUAGCGGUGAAAUGCGCAGAGAUAUGGAGGAACACCAGUGGCGAAGGCGGCUCUCUGGUCUGUAACUGACGCUGAUGUGCGAAAGCGUGGGGAUCAAACAGGAUUAGAUACCCUGGUAGUCCACGCCGUAAACGAUGAGUGCUAAGUGGUUAGGGGGUUUCCGCCCCUUAGUGCUGCAGCUAACGCAUUAAGCACUCCGCCUGGGGAGACGACCGCAAGGUUGAACUCAAAGGAAUUGACGGGACCCGCACAGCGUGGGAGCAUGUGGUUUAUUCGAAGCACGCGAAGACCUUACCAAUCUUGACUCCUUGACGUCCUAGAAAGAGCUUCCCUUCGGGG